CCUACGGGAGGCAGCAGUGGGGAAUUUUGGACAAUGGGCGCAAGCCUGAUCCAGCAAAGCCGCGUGAGUGAAGAAGGCCCUUGGGUUGUAAAGCUCUUUCGGCUGGGAAGAAGGAAGUAUAGCUAAUAUCUAUACUGACAGACGGUACCAGCAUAAGAAGCACCGGCUAACUACGUGCCAGCAGCCGCGGUAAUACGUAGGGUGCGAGCGUUAAUCGGAAUUACUGGGCGUAAAGGGUGUGUAGGCGGUUUGUUAAGUCUGAUGUGAAAGCCCCGAGCUUAACUUGGGAACUGCGUUGGAAACUGGCAAACUAGAGUACGUAAGAGGGGGGUAGAAUUCCACGUGUAGCAGUGAAAUGCGUAGAGAUGUGGAGGAAUACCGAUGGCGAAGGCAGCCCCCUGGGACGAUACUGACGCUGAGGCACGAAAGCGUGGGGAGCAAACAGGAUUAGAUACCCUGGUAGUCCACGCCCUAAACGAUGUCAACUAGUUGUUGGGACCCUUGUGGUUUCAGUAACGCAGCUAACGCAUGAAGUUGACCGCCUGGGGAGUACGGUCGCAAGAUUAAAACUCAAAUGAAUUGACGG
This 586-nucleotide ribosomal RNA is filed under the name uncultured bacterium. Its description in RNAcentral is "bacterial SSU rRNA". It matches the Rfam family "Bacterial small subunit ribosomal RNA", at positions 338 to 916 of the family's 1533-position model. The record is from RNAcentral.